This 1500-nucleotide long non-coding RNA is filed under the name Macaca fascicularis (crab-eating macaque). RNAcentral's name for it is "lncRNA (ENSMFAG00000050140.1)". Lineage: Eukaryota; Metazoa; Chordata; Mammalia; Primates; Cercopithecidae. The record is from RNAcentral.
UUUUUUUUUUUUUUUUUAAAUGAGUUGGAGUCUCGCUUUGCUGCCCAGGCUGGAGUGAAAUGGUGCAAUCUCGACUCACUGCAACCUCUGCCUCCAGAGUUCAGGCAAUUCUCCUGCCUUAGCCUCCUGAGUAGCUGGGAUUACAGAUGCCCACCCCCAUGACCAGCUAAGUUUUGGAUUUUUAGUAGAGACAGGAUUUCACCAUGUUGGCCAGACUGGUCUCGAACUCCUGGCCUCCCAAAGUGCUAGGAUUACAGGCAUGAGCCACUGCGCCUGGCCAAGACCUUCAGAUUUUUUUAAGCCAAAUUUUAAAAAUGUAGAAUUGCCAGAUUUUAAGCAUUGAGAACUAAUUAAAAUUUGAAGAUGGAACAAAACAUGUCGACCCACAGGCCCCCAGUGGGAGCUCUGCUCUCUAGUCUGGUUGCCCGUAGCAGGCUGCUCACAGCUUCCUGGGAAAACCGAGUAUCCUCACCCCUCCACAGCUGGCUUGGGGCUGUGCCUUCCAUGACUUGUGUAAUUCAUGAGAGCCUUCUCUUCCACUCUUUUUUGUUUGAGACAGGGCCUUGCUCUGCCACCCAGGCUGGAGCGCAGUAGUGUGAUCUCUGCUCACUGCAGCCUUGACCUGCUGGGCUCAAGCAAUCCUCCCGCCUCAGCCUCCCAAGUAGCCGGGAUACAGCAUGCACCACCACACUUGGCUAAUUUUUUAAUUUUUUUUUUUUAGAGACAGGGUCUUGCUAUGUUGCCCAGGCUGGUCUCCAACUCCUGGCCUCAAGUGAUCCUCCCUCUUUGGCCUCUCAAAGCACUGGGAUUACAGGCACGGGUCACCCUGCUGGCCCUCCUCCACUCAACUCAGUACAACCUGCCAUCCACUGCCUUGACUUGGGGUUGCCAGAUAUCCUAGAAUGCCCAGUGCCAUCUGAAUUUCAGUCAACAAUGAAUCCAUUUAAUUGAAGUAUGCCCUAAAUAUUGCAUCAGACAUACUUAGACGAAAAAUGACGCAUUGUUUAUCUAAAAUUUAAAUGUAAGUGGGUGUCCUUUAUUUCCUCUGCUAAAUCUGGCAAACCUACCUCAGCUACACCACAUCCACCUUGCAUUCUUUCCGGACACUGCUCUAGGUGCUGGGGAUACAGCAAGAAUAAAACAGAUCAGAAGAAAAUCCCUUUGCACAUGGUGCUUCUGCGCUGCAGGCAGAAGAGAGGCAGUUUCCUCUUCUAUUCCAACAUCAUUUUGGCUCAAGGGUUUAUAACAGGAGUAAGGACGAGUAUCGCUGGGUCAGAGCCCUGGCUCUACCACCUGUCAGUUGUGCUGCUGAGCCUGUGGGCCAUUAACGAGCCCAUCACUGAAAUGGGGCAACAGUGCCUUUGCUGCAGGUCAUGAACCAGAGGUGACACAUACAUACUUAGAACAAUGUCUGGCAUGAAGUAAGUGGCCGGUGCAUUGAACCAGGUGACACAUGGCACUGUUUCUUGUUUCCAUUUCUGUGCCCCCCUUACCCCCAAA